GGCGCGAGACUGAAAAUACCCGAUGAGACGCCAUUUCUCUGACUGUAAAUCAGCUGGCAUAGCCUUCGGGGGUUCGAAUCCCUCACUCGCCACCA
Molecule: transfer RNA, 95 nt
Filed under: Agromyces indicus
Lineage: Bacteria; Bacillati; Actinomycetota; Actinomycetes; Micrococcales; Microbacteriaceae
Description: tRNA-Tyr
Source: RNAcentral